UGCCUAUGAUGAUAAUAUUUGAUAAUGAUUUUAAAUGAUUCUUCUUACCACCAAGAUCUCUGAGGUG
Small nucleolar RNA from Uloborus diversus, 67 nucleotides. RefSeq annotates it as small nucleolar RNA SNORD24. The record is from RefSeq and is a predicted model, not a curated record. The transcript has a single exon. Lineage: Eukaryota; Metazoa; Arthropoda; Arachnida; Araneae; Uloboridae.